Long non-coding RNA from Zeugodacus cucurbitae (melon fly), 4977 nucleotides. RefSeq lists it as uncharacterized. NCBI's taxonomy places the organism in Eukaryota, Metazoa, Arthropoda, Insecta, Diptera, Tephritidae. The record is from RefSeq and is a predicted model, not a curated record. The transcript is spliced from 5 exons.
UGUACAUAUGUAUGUAUGCAUUAUGUUCGGUUAUAAACUGUUUUUGCAUUUGGGAUAUAGCUUCAUACAAAACUUUAGACUUUCUAAAGAAGCCUUUGAUUAUGUCUUAAGAUGCAUAACUGAAGAACUAACGGUACCUAUAAGAUCCACGGCAGUAAAUCCAGCUAUAAAACUUGCUGCUACUUUAAAAUUCCUUGGUCGAGGCGGCUAUCAACAUCAAAUAGGGCAAGACCGGUUUGCAGGGUUAGCACAGUCCACUACAUCUAAAUGUAUUGCAGAAGUGUUGAAUGCUAUUGAAAAAACAAUGUGUCCGAAACACAUAAAAUUUGAAAUGAGCUCACAAGAAAAACGUGAAGCUAAGAAUUAUUUUUAAUCAAAAUUUGGAUUACCAGGAAUAAUAGGUGCUUUUGAUGGAACUCACAUCCAGAUGGUUAGACCAGUAAAAGAUGAACAUCUCUUUUUUAAUCGAAAGCUAAAGCAUAGCGUCAAUGCUAUGGUGAUUUGUGACCAUAAUAUGUAUAUAAGAGCUGUAAAUGGAGUUUAUGGUGGAGCAGCACACUACGAAAAUUGAGAUAAAUCUUCUAGGUUAAUUGGUGAUUCUGGAUAUCCAUUAGAGCCAUGGCUCCUUACGCCUUACCGCAAUGCAGAAGAAAAUUCACUUGAAAGCUUGUACAAUGAAAAAUCAAGAUCAAUAAUCGAGCGUGUAUUUGGAAUUUAAAAAAAUCGUUUUCGAUGCCUGCUUGCUGGAAGAGAGCUUCACUAUGCACCAAAAAAAGUUGUUAAAAUUUUGAACGUUUGUUGUGCCCUGCAUAACAUUUGCCUCAUAUACAACGUUGAAGCACUAACAGUAAUUGAAAUUAAUGAAGAACUAUCUAAUUUGGCUUUACCCAACGUAGUUCAAAACGGGUUUUCACAAAUUGCGCAAACAAUACGAGACCGAAUUCAAAUAAGCUUGCGCUCGUAAUUUAAAUAAAGUAACUAAAAAGCAAUCCAUUUAUUUCAAUUAUUCAUUAAUUUCAAUAACUAAAAUUAACGGGUAUUAACAUUUAACAUUUGUUCCUUGAUUUUAAGUAUAUUGUUCCUCUCCCUGUCGCUUUUAAUUUUGUACUCAUGCUUUAACUUUGCAAACUUUAGUUUUUGUCUUUCUAGUUGUAUUUUUUCUUCAUUUUGUUCAAAAAGUUUCUUAUUAGAUUUAACUAAAGAUUUUAAAUUGUAAUUCACGUCUUUUAAAAUCUUGGUACAAUCUUUGUGAAACUUUAUUUGUCCGUCUACUUGCAUUUUCAAGAGAAGCACGAAAAGGAGUUGUCUUUAUGCCGCGAUGGCUGAAUUUGGUAUCCCUGCAAAACUAAUACGGCUAUGUAAGCUGACGUUGAGCAACACCAAAAGCUCCGUCAGGAUCGGGAAGGACCUCUCCGAGCCGUUCGAUACCAAACGAGGCUUCCGACAGGGUGACUCACUAUCGUGCGACUUCUUCAAUCUAUUGCUGGAAAAAAUAAUACGAGCUGCAGAACUAAAUAGAGAAGGUACAAUCUUCUACAAGAGUGUACAGCUCCUGGCGUAUGCCAAUAUCAUUGGAAGCAACAAUCGCGCCGUUUGUUCUGCGUUUUCCAGACUAGAUAAAGAAGCGAAGCGUAUGGGUCUGGUGGUGAACGAGGACAAGACGAAAUAUCUCCUGUCGUCAAACAAACAGUCGGGGCAUUCGCGUCUUGGCUCCCACGUCACUGUUGACAGUCAUAACUUUGAAGUUGUAGAUAAUUUCGUCUACCUGGGAACCAGCAUUAACAGCAAAAACAAUGUCAGCCUGGAAAUCCAACGCAGAAUCACUAUUGCCAACAGGUGCUACAAUGGACUAAGUAGGCAAUUGAAAAGUAAAGUCCUCUCUCGACGAACAAAAACCAAACUCUACAAGUCUCUCAUCAUUCCUGUCCUACUUUACUGUGCAGAAGACAGCGACUACGCUGGCUAGGUCAUGCUGUUCGAAUGGAUGAAAGUGCUCCAGCUCUGAAAGUAUUCGAUGCAGUACCCGCUGGUGGAAGCCAAGGAAGAGGGAGACCUCCACUCCGAUGGAAGGACCAGGUGGAGAGGGACCUGGCUUCGCUUGGUAUAACCAAUUGGCGCCAAACUGCCAGAAGGAGGCGUACGUGGCGCGCUGUUGUGGACUCGGCUAUAACCGCGUAAGCGGUGUCUACGCCAGUCAAGAAGAAGAAGAUUAUUUACAGAUUCAUUUCGUUCUACAGGAUAAAUAAAUAAGCAUUUCAAAAUAUUAUUUGUGAUAUGAGGCCACUAAUAAAGCCAACGAACAUAGCCGUUAGCUAUCCGUGAUGGCACAAAAGCAUGAUACUCGAUUUUUACGGUUAAUCUAAUAACAAUUUUGAUUCUAGUUAUACUCUCGCAACAAAUUUGCUAAGCGUGUAUAUAGUUUUGUUCACAUAACGGUUUUUUAAAUAUUUUUAUUACUUAACAAGUAAGGAAAGGCUAGGUUCGGGAGCAACCGAACAUUUCAUACUCUCGCCAUUUAUUGAUAUAGUUUUUUUAAGAUAACACACAAUUUGGCCCAUAUAUUCGACAUAAAGUCCAAUAGAAUAACGAAAAUCAUCAUAUAUAGUAUAAGAGGGCUGAGGUAAUUCCUGAACCGAUUUCACUAAAUAGCCCAUCGUAUUUUUGAAAAACCUAUAAUUAGGUAUAUGGGAGCUAGGGGAAGUUACGGAGACACACUAUUAUAAGAAAAAUAUUCCCUCCAAAUUAAAUUAAGAUAUCUGAGAGAUUUACCGUCAUUUUCGGUGAAAAAUUUCCCGAAGGCACUGAAUUCUUCAUAUUCGAUAUUCGGGUAUCGAAAAGUUAUAGUCCGAUUUCUACAUUUUUUCACAAGCUAUGAUCUGAUACUGAUAACAUACAGUACUUGAGUAAAGUUUUAUUACACUAUCUUCAUUGGUUCGUUAUGUAUAUAUUAUAAAGAGAAGGAAUGAGAUGGAAUUCAAAAUUGAGUUAUAUGAAAAGUAGUCGAGGUUGUGAACCGUUCCCAGUUUCCAUUUUGUAAAAAAAAUCUGAGUACAGCUUCCUUCUGUCAUUUCUUCUGCAAAAUUUAGGGUUUAUGACCCUUCCUAGUGCGAUCCUUUGUACCAACUUUUACUUUUAUAACGUUAUUUAUAGCUUAGUUAUGACACUUUAUUUGUUUUCGGUUUUCACCAUUUUGUGGGCGUGGCAGUGGACCGAUUUCGCCCGAUUUCGAAAGCAACCCUCUCACGGUCCCAAAGAAUAUUUGUGCUAGGUUUCGUCAAGAUAUCUUAAUUUUUACUCAAGUUACAGCUUGCACAGACGGACAGGACGGACAGACAUCCGGAUUUCAAAUCUACUCGUCAUCCUGAUCACUUUGGUAUACAUGACUAUAUAUCUAACUCUUUUAGUUUUAGGUGUUACAAACAACCGUUAUGUGAACAAAACUAUAACACUCACUUUAGCAACUUUUGUUGCGAGAGUAUAAUAAAUAAAAUUAGAUAAAUGUUCCUCAUUUACAUGAAUAGUGUCGUAACUCAAAAACACGAUUUUUAAGUUGAGUAUGCACAUAUGUUCGCAAUAUCAUUGUCCAUAUAGUGUAAAAAAUGCAUUCUGAUGCGUAAAAAAAUAAACAGUCGAUAUAAGAAUGUGUCGUUAUUCCACUUGUUAUGUCGAAUUAUUUUUAAGCACAAUAACAACACAUCUAAGUUGUGCCAGAAUUAGUCAUGUUUUAUUUCAGAAAGAAAAGAAAAUUGGUGAUUGUGUUUUUCAGCAAUGAUGAUAUAUUUAACUUAUGACAGCAAAUUUGAUAUAUAUUUUUCACAAAUAACGCCAUAAUUCGAAGCGGAAGAAGUUUAUGAAGGAGAAAACCGCAGUCGGUCCAACUGGCGGCUCCUCCUCGCAGUGGCAUUUAUACCAGAAAAUGAGCGCCGUACUAUCACCAUAUGUUAGCUACAACAACGAGAGUUUAGUGGAAGAAAGCUUUUUUAGUUCUACAAACUCCGAACCAAUGCAAAUUUCGGUGGAAACGGUUGCGACACCUUCAUUUGUUGCUGAAUCUCCAUUGCCAUCACCGGUUUGCGUAAUUUCGCCCUCAGAGAUCAUGAUGUCGCCAACCGAGCCUCAUCAUUCACCAAAAAUAAAUCAUUUUCAGAGCUUAAUGUUAAAAAAUUUUAAAAAAUUUAAAAACAGCGUGAAAAAGCAAAUCAGGAUUUCAACGAAACUAGUAAAAAAAAAAUGAUGAAAAUAAAAUCGGAUAAUAACCACGUCCACCUCCCAUACAAAGGUUAGGUUGAAAAUUACUAAAAGUGCGUUAACUCCCUAACGAAAAACGUCAGAAACACUAAAUUUCACAUAAGAAAUGGCAGAUGAAAGCUGCACUCAGAUUUUUUUACAAAAUGGAAAAUGGGCGUGGCGUCGCCCACUUAUGGGUCAAAAACCAUAUCUCAGGAACUACUCGACCGAUUUCAAACUUGGUUUGUAAUAGUUUCCUUACAUCUCAAUGAUAUGUUGUGAAAAUAGAAAAAUCGCCAAAAUCGGGCCAUACUUUUUCAAGGCCCCGUAUAUCGAACAUGAGGACCUCGGUGCUUCUAACCUAAUAUUAUGGUUUCCAACUUUCAAUGGACUUUAUACAAUAUAUAUGACGAAUAUGGUCAAAUUGUGUAUUAUAUAAUAUUAAAUAAAUAAAUUGCGAGAGUAUAAAAUGUUCUGUUACACCCGAACUUAGCCCUUCCUUACUUGUUUUGCUUGCUCGUUCGCGUCAUUUGAUUUGCUCAUUUCUGCGUCCAUCGUAAAAGUAAACAAAUUUUCGUCAAUGACUUCGUCUUUCCAACUUCUAGUUUCACUCAUACACCAUUUGUUAUACAUAUCUUUACCGCCAUUUUAGCGUAGGCGACAAAAACCAAACUUUACAGGAGAAGGUUUUUUUUUAAAUACUUUUACCAUUAAUGUGGUAGUAAUUUAAAAUUUCUCAUACAUUAAUGC